RNAcentral lists this ribosomal RNA (274 nucleotides) under uncultured bacterium. Its description in RNAcentral is "partial 16S ribosomal RNA". It matches the Rfam family "Bacterial small subunit ribosomal RNA", at positions 523 to 796 of the family's 1533-position model. The record is from RNAcentral.
AUACGAAUGGAGCAAGCGUUGUUCGGAAUCACUGGGCGUAAAGCGUACGUAGGCGGAUUUUUAAGUCAGAAGUGAAAGCCCAGGGCUCAACCCUGGAACUGCUUUUGAAACUGGAAGUCUAGAGUCCCGGAGAGGUUAGGGGAAUUCCGAGUGUAGCAGUGAAAUGCGCAGAUAUUCGGAGGAACACCAGUGGCGUAGGCGCCUAACUGGACGGGAACUGACGCUGAGGUACGAAAGCGUGGGGAGCAAACGGAAUUAGAAACCCUAGUAGUCC